AACGAACGCUGGCGGCAUGCCUAACACAUGCAAGUCGAACGAGACCUUCGGGUCUAGUGGCGCACGGGUGCGUAACGCGUGGGAACCUGCCCUUAGGUUCGGAAUAACUCCCCGAAAGGGGUGCUAAUACCGGAUAAUGUCUUCGGACCAAAGAUUUAUCGCCUUUGGAUGGGCCCGCGUUGGAUUAGCUAGUUGGUAGGGUAAAAGCCUACCAAGGCGACGAUCCAUCGCUGGUCUGAGAGGAUGAUCAGCCACACUGGGACUGAGACACGGCCCAGACUCCUACGGGAAGCAGCAGUGGGGAAUAUUGGACAAUGGGCGAAAGCCUGAUCCAGCAAUGCCGCGUGAGUGAUGAAGGCCUUAGGGUUGUAAAGCUCUUUUACCCGGGAUGAUAAUGACAGUACCGGGAGAAUAAGCGCCGGCUAACUCCGUG
This 433-nucleotide ribosomal RNA is filed under the name uncultured bacterium. Its description in RNAcentral is "partial 16S ribosomal RNA". It matches the Rfam family "Bacterial small subunit ribosomal RNA", at positions 29 to 507 of the family's 1533-position model. The record is from RNAcentral.